This 440-nucleotide ribosomal RNA is filed under the name uncultured bacterium. Its description in RNAcentral is "partial 16S ribosomal RNA". It matches the Rfam family "Bacterial small subunit ribosomal RNA", at positions 339 to 795 of the family's 1533-position model. The record is from RNAcentral.
CUACGGGUGGCUGCAGUGGGGAAUAUUGCACAAUGGAGGAAACUCUGAUGCAGCAACGCCGCGUGGAGGAUGACACUUUUCGGAGCGUAAACUCCUUUUAUAUAGGAAGAAGAUGACGGUACUAUAUGAAUAAGCGCCGGCUAAACUCCGUGCCAGCAGCCGCGGUAAUACGGAGGGCGCAAGCGUUACUCGGAAUCACUGGGCGUAAAGAGCGUGUAGGCGGAUUAAAAAGUCAGAAGUGAAAUCCUAUAGCUUAACUAUAGAACUGCUUCUGAAACUCUUAAUCUAGAAUAUGGGAGAGGUAGAUGGAAUUUCUGGUGUAGGGGUAAAAUCCGUAGAGAUCAGAAGGAAUACCGAUUGCGAAGGCGAUCUACUAGAACAUUAUUGACGCUGAGACGCGAAAGCGUGGGGAGCAAACAGGAUUAGAUACCCGCGUAGUC